CAAAAUAUAAUAUAUAACAAGUCAAAAAAGGGAACAACAUCGCCAUAUAAUAACUAUAAAAUGAACAAAUAUUAGAUAUUUCGGAUAACAGAUAUCCUUCUUCAAUAUUAGCACGAUGUCAAAUGAAUCAUGUCAAUAUAUUCAAACUGAGACACUAUCAAAAUCUUCAAAUUUAUACAAUUUAAGCGAACAUCACAGACGCUGGUACAAUUUUAAAAGUUCCAAACACGGCGCAUUGACUACAAAGAUAUGCCAAAAU
This 259-nucleotide long non-coding RNA is filed under the name Mytilus galloprovincialis (Mediterranean mussel). The record is from RNAcentral. Lineage: Eukaryota; Metazoa; Mollusca; Bivalvia; Mytilida; Mytilidae.